RNAcentral lists this non-coding RNA (61 nucleotides) under unclassified sequences. RNAcentral describes it as "GP20-b RNA". It matches the Rfam family "GP20-b RNA". The record is from RNAcentral.
GGCCUUCCCGUGGGCCUAAAAUAUCGGGGCGGCGGGUGCUGGCGACCACCUAAAACGCCUA